Molecule: non-coding RNA, 1252 nt
Organism: Equus caballus (horse)
Lineage: Eukaryota; Metazoa; Chordata; Mammalia; Perissodactyla; Equidae
Source: RefSeq, a predicted model, not a curated record
CUUCUGUUUCUAUGCAUUUGCCUAUUCUGGACAUUUCCUGUAAGUGAAAUCAUACAAACAGAGAUCUACAUACCAUAUCUAAACACUGAAAAUUUUUAAAUCAGAGCAAACUGUUAAAUAAAAUGUUUUAUCCUUGUAUUCUGACAAAUAUACAGUCAUAAAGAAGGUCAGGCUCUAAUUUAGAAUUCUCACGCUUCUCAGAAUGCUGUUGCUAGAGAUGGCAGUGUGGAGAGAGCUAGCCCCAACCCUCAACCCAUGCCCUUCUCUUCUCAGCCCAGGCUCCAUCUGCACCAUGAGGAGCAGUGUGUGUGUGUGUGGACACCUAGCCCAUAAGUGCAAGCUGUUGUCACCCACUCUCUCGUGAACUGUCACUCUCUGACACACCUAAAGGGAGAACAGAUGCAGGGAAGAGACCUGUGCAGGUAAUCCAGAUCUGAGCUCAGAGUGCUGUUCUGGAGUCUCUGUUACUCCAGUCUAGCCCUGUUGCACAGUGGUAUUGACACGAAGUCCUUGGAAACCACCAAUCAUUCUCCAGGGCCAUGAGUUGCUGAGGGAAUAUGAAAGACAGUGGAAUAGUACUCAAGGAAGAAGCCCAAGCCAUGAAAGUCCACCCAGAUGCAGCCUGCUGCUGGGCCUCUGCCUGCCACGCCCGUUCCUGCCUUGACCUUCCACACACUGGUCUCCAAGUCUCAAGUUCUCUGUUAUGUAUCUCUAGCUACACACAACCUGGUAACCUGUUGUAAUUCCCACUCCCUCUCAUCUACUCUCUUCACCUAAUCUGUUCUUUCAGUCCUGUGGACCUGAUUACCUACCCAGUUUCCUUAAACAGUCCAUAUUACGAGCCAGCCCUCAUGGCCUGGUGGUUAAAGUUCAGCCCUCUCACCGCCUCCGGCCCAGGUUCAUUUCCCCCUUGCAGAACCCCACCACCCAUCUGUCAGUUGCCAUGCUGUGGUAGUGGCUCACAGAGAAGAACUAGGAGGACUUACAACCAGGAUAUACAACCAUGCACUGGGGCUUUGGGGAGGGAAAAAAACCCAGAAAAACAGUUCAUGCUGCUUCAUGUUUUGGACCUUUGUUAUUUUGUGUGUUUGGCUGUAUUGUAUUAAUUAUCCAUCCCUGCAUAAAAGUUUGCCCCAAAACGUAAUAGCUUAGAGCAAUCAAUAUUCUUCUCUCUCAUGGUUUCUGCUGAGGAGCUCAGCUGGGUGGUUCUGGCUCAGAGUCUCUGCUAACAUUGAAGUCAAGCUGUCAGCUG